CCUUCACUGGAAAGUACCUCUCAUGGAGAAAAUUCAUCAAGUUGCAGGCUGAGCUGAGCUAAGGAAGCCGAACUCUACUCUCUGAUACCUGGAUGUGUGACCCUUGAACUUAGGCAACAUAGACAGGUCAAGAGGGCGGGCGAUGCUUUUCUGCCUGCUAUGGCAACAGUAUUGGCAAACAAUAGGCCCUCAGUAAACCGACAAGGGGCCGACAGGAUAGCUUACUGGGUAAAGGUGCUUACCGCAGGACAACCUGAGUUUGAUCCUUAUGGCGAAGAGAACCAAGUCCCACACGUUGUCCUCUGACCUCCACAUGUGUGCCGUGACAUGUGCGUCCUACAAUUAAGUAAAUAAAUGAAGAGAUGAA
RNAcentral lists this long non-coding RNA (367 nucleotides) under Mus spretus (western wild mouse). RNAcentral describes it as "lncRNA (ENSMSPG00010033221.1)". Lineage: Eukaryota; Metazoa; Chordata; Mammalia; Rodentia; Muridae. The record is from RNAcentral.